CUCCCAUCCGAAGCUCCUGCCAAGCAGCCAAUCAGCGGCCGCCGGCGCGGGGGCUCUCGGGGGAGGUGGUCCGAGCUGGCGGCGUCGGGCUCCGGUUCCGUGUGCCCAUCCGGGAGCCCGAGGGCGGCGUUCGCUGGCAUUUUAGAUGCAACAUGCAUGUUAUGAAGAAGCAUGACAUCACUGGACUCGGCAGGGAGCCUCUGAAUUUUCCUCCUUUGGUCCCCCAGGAAAAAGGAACUAUUCAUUACCUCCCCUCCUCUUCAAGAUGGAGCAAAUACCUUUAGUAGCCAAAACUUCAGUGAGAGGGUUAACAUGUGAAAUUUUUGGCUCUCCUGAUGACCUGAGUCCCAUCCCCAGGACUCACAUGGGAACUGACUUCUGCAAGUUGCCCUCUGACCUCAACACAUAUGCCAUAACAUGCAUACCCACAUAUAUGUGCCACACAUGCAUUGGUAUACACAGUAAAUAAACAAUUGUAUUCUUUAAUUAAAAAGUUUUUUGGAUUUUC
Molecule: long non-coding RNA, 508 nt
Organism: Mesocricetus auratus (golden hamster)
Lineage: Eukaryota; Metazoa; Chordata; Mammalia; Rodentia; Cricetidae
Exons: 2
Source: RefSeq, a predicted model, not a curated record